RNAcentral lists this ribosomal RNA (234 nucleotides) under uncultured bacterium. RNAcentral describes it as "partial 16S ribosomal RNA". It matches the Rfam family "Bacterial small subunit ribosomal RNA", at positions 524 to 753 of the family's 1533-position model. The record is from RNAcentral.
GACGAACCGUGCGAACGUUAUUCGGAAUCACUGGGCUUAAAGCGCGUGUAGGCGGAUGGGAACGUCGGUAGUUGAAAGCCCCCCGGCUCAACCGGGGAAGUGGUGCCGAAACGACCCGUCUGGAGGGACGUAGGGGGACCUGGAACUUCCGGUGGAGCGGUGAAAUGCGUUGAGAUCGGAAGGAACGCCCGUGGCGAAAGCGAGGUCCUGGACGUCUACUGAACGCGUGAGACG